RNAcentral lists this ribosomal RNA (454 nucleotides) under Lyhnidia gjorgjevici. RNAcentral describes it as "partial 16S ribosomal RNA". It matches the Rfam family "Bacterial large subunit ribosomal RNA", at positions 1839 to 2593 of the family's 2925-position model. Lineage: Eukaryota; Metazoa; Mollusca; Gastropoda; Littorinimorpha; Hydrobiidae. The record is from RNAcentral.
AUAAACAUAAAGAGCCGAACCUGCCCAAUGAUAUUUUUAAAUGGCCGCGGUACUCUGACCGUGCAAAGGUAGCAUAAUCAUUUGCCUUAUAAUUGAAGGCUAGUAUGAACGGUUUGACAAGAGUAGCACUGUCUCUACUAAAUUUUAUAGAAUUUGGUUUUUAGGUGAAGAAACCUAAAUAAAAUUGAAAGACAAGAAGACCCUAUCGAGCUUUAAAAAAUUUUUCUUAAAGAUUUUAGUUGGGGCGACUAAGGAACAACAAAAGCUUCUUUUUUAUAUAUAAACUUAUAUGUUUUGAUCCAAAAAAAUGAUUAAUAGAAUUAGUUACCGUAGGAUAACAGCAUAAUCUUUUUUGAGAGUUCUUAUCGAAAAAAAGGUUUGUGACCUCGAUGUUGGACUAGGAUAUCCUAAAGGUGUAGAAGCCUUUAAAGGUUGGUCUGUUCGACCAUUAACA